Molecule: transfer RNA, 76 nt
Filed under: Mobiluncus mulieris
Lineage: Bacteria; Bacillati; Actinomycetota; Actinomycetes; Actinomycetales; Actinomycetaceae
Also listed under: 4 other names
Description: tRNA-Lys
Rfam family: tRNA
About the family: Transfer RNA (tRNA) molecules are approximately 80 nucleotides in length. Their secondary structure includes four short double-helical elements and three loops (D, anti-codon, and T loops).
Source: RNAcentral
GGGCCUAUAGCUCAGUUGGUAGAGCAGCGGACUUUUAAUCCGUGGGUCGGGGGUUCGAGCCCCCCUGGGCCUACUA